UAAGGGGUGCCUGGUCUUUUGGCCUCGCUGAGAAUAUACCCAUGAACCUGAUCCGGGUAAUGCCGGCGUAGGUAGGAUAAUAA
This 83-nucleotide non-coding RNA is filed under the name uncultured Prevotella sp. The record is from RNAcentral. Lineage: Bacteria; Pseudomonadati; Bacteroidota; Bacteroidia; Bacteroidales; Prevotellaceae.